UUACAAGUGAGCUCUCCCAUGUCUAG
This 26-nucleotide unclassified non-coding RNA is filed under the name Mus musculus (house mouse). RNAcentral describes it as "oocyte_clustered_small_RNA6687". Lineage: Eukaryota; Metazoa; Chordata; Mammalia; Rodentia; Muridae. The record is from RNAcentral.